RNAcentral lists this ribosomal RNA (469 nucleotides) under uncultured bacterium. Its description in RNAcentral is "partial 16S ribosomal RNA". It matches the Rfam family "Bacterial small subunit ribosomal RNA", at positions 27 to 507 of the family's 1533-position model. The record is from RNAcentral.
GGACGAACGCUGGCGGCGUGUUUAACACAUGCAAGUCGAACGGAAAGGCCCUGCUUUUGUGGGGUGCUCGAGUGGCGAACGGGUGAGUAACACGUGAGUAACCUGCCCUUGACUUUGGGAUAACUUCAGGAAACUGGGGCUAAUACCGGAUAGGAGCUCCUGCUGCAUGGUGGGGGUUGGAAAGUUUCGGCGGUUGGGGAUGGACUCGCGGCUUAUCAGCUUGUUGGUGGGGUAGUGGCUUACCAAGGCUUUGACGGGUAGCCGGCCUGAGAGGGUGACCGGCCACAUUGGGACUGAGAUACGGCCCAGACUCCUACGGGAGGCAGCAGUGGGGAAUAUUGCACAAUGGGCGGAAGCCUGAUGCAGCAACGCCGCGUGCGGGAUGACGGCCUUCGGGUUGUAAACCGCUUUCGCCUGUGACGAAGCGUGAGUGACGGUAAUGGGUAAAGAAGCACCGGCUAACUACGUG